CGACUCCUACGGGGGGCAGCAGUGAGGAAUAUUGGUCAAUGGGCGGGAGCCUGAACCAGCCAAGUCGCGUGAGUGAAGACGGCCCUACGGGUUGUAAACCUCUUUUGUCGGGGAGCAAAGCGAGUCACGUGUGACUCAUUGAGAGUACCCGAAGAAAAAGCAUCGGCUAACUCCGUGCCAGCAGCCGCGGUAAUACGGAGGAUGCGAGCGUUAUCCGGAUUUAUUGGGUUUAAAGGGUGCGCAGGCGGAGGUGCAAGUCAGCGGUCAAAUUGCGGGGCUCAACCCCGUACUGCCGUUGAAACUGG
This 305-nucleotide ribosomal RNA is filed under the name uncultured bacterium. Its description in RNAcentral is "bacterial SSU rRNA". It matches the Rfam family "Bacterial small subunit ribosomal RNA", at positions 333 to 636 of the family's 1533-position model. The record is from RNAcentral.